GCCUGGCUGGCUCAGUAGGUAGAGCAGGUGACUCUUGGUCUCAAGCUUGUGAGUUCAAGCCCCAUAUUAGGCA
This 73-nucleotide transfer RNA is filed under the name Felis catus (domestic cat). It matches the Rfam family "tRNA". Rfam says of the family: Transfer RNA (tRNA) molecules are approximately 80 nucleotides in length. Their secondary structure includes four short double-helical elements and three loops (D, anti-codon, and T loops). Lineage: Eukaryota; Metazoa; Chordata; Mammalia; Carnivora; Felidae. The record is from Rfam by way of RNAcentral.